RNAcentral lists this small RNA (108 nucleotides) under Arabidopsis thaliana (thale cress). Its description in RNAcentral is "ATSL218530". Lineage: Eukaryota; Viridiplantae; Streptophyta; Magnoliopsida; Brassicales; Brassicaceae. The record is from RNAcentral.
AUAUGUUAUAUUGUUUUAUUCAUAAAAUCUAAAAUCAUUCCUAAAAUCACGGCAUACUUAUUAACAGUGGCAAAGCUAGAACUUUCUGUUAUGGGGUCUAAAAUAUAU